UAUGAAUAUAGCUCAGUUGGUAGAGUGCUUGCCUCGUAGCACAAAGCUCUGGGUUUGAUCCCCAGCAUCACAA
This 73-nucleotide transfer RNA is filed under the name Marmota monax (woodchuck). RNAcentral's name for it is "tRNA.Undet". Lineage: Eukaryota; Metazoa; Chordata; Mammalia; Rodentia; Sciuridae. The record is from RNAcentral.